GUUUGAUCAUGGCUCACAUUGAACGCUGGCGGAAUGCUUUACACAUGCAAGUCGAACGGCAGCACGAGAGCUUGCUCUUGGUGGCGAGUGGCGAACGGGUGAGUAAUAUAUCGGAACGUAUCCAAUAAUGGGGGAUAACUAAUCGAAAGGUUGGCUAAUACCGCAUACGCCCUACGGGGGAAAGCAGGGGAUCUUCGGACCUUGCGUUAAUGGAGCGGCUGAUAUCUGAUUAGCUAGUAGGUGAGGUAAAGGCUCACCUAGGCGACGAUCAGUAGCUGGUCUGAGAGGACGACCAGCCACACUGGAACUGAGACACGGUCCAGACUCCUACGGGAGGCAGCAGUGGGGAAUUUUGGACAAUGGGCGCAAGCCUGAUCCAGCCAUUCCGCGUGAGUGAAGAAGGCCUUCGGGUUGUAAAGCUCUUUCGCAAGGGAAGAAACGAUACAGACGAAUAAUCUGUGUUAAUGACGGUACCUUGAUAAGAAGCACCGGCUAACUACGUGCCAGCAGCCGCGGUAAUACGUAGGGUGCGAGCGUUAAUCGGAAUUACUGGGCGUAAAGCGUGCGCAGGCGGUUUUGUAAGUCAGAUGUGAAAUCCCCGAGCUCAACUUGGGAACUGCGUUUGAAACUACAAGGCUAGAGUAUGGUAGAGGGGGGUAGAAUUCCACGUGUAGCAGUGAAAUGCGUAGAGAUGUGGAGGAAUACCAAUGGCGAAGGCAGCCCCCUGGACUAAUACUGACGCUCAUGCACGAAAGCGUGGGGAGCAAACAGGAUUAGAUACCCUGGUAGUCCACGCCCUAAAACGAUGUCUACUAGUUGUUGGGAGAGUAAAAUCU
RNAcentral lists this ribosomal RNA (836 nucleotides) under uncultured bacterium. Its description in RNAcentral is "bacterial SSU rRNA". It matches the Rfam family "Bacterial small subunit ribosomal RNA", at positions 11 to 838 of the family's 1533-position model. The record is from RNAcentral.